RNAcentral lists this ribosomal RNA (467 nucleotides) under uncultured bacterium. RNAcentral describes it as "bacterial SSU rRNA". It matches the Rfam family "Bacterial small subunit ribosomal RNA", at positions 29 to 506 of the family's 1533-position model. The record is from RNAcentral.
GCGAACGCUGGCGGCGUGCUUAACACAUGCAAGUCGAACGAAGUAGCAAUACUUAGUGGCGGACGGGUGCGUAACACGUGACUAACUUGCCUUAGACUGUGGAAUAACGGAGGGAAACUUCCGCUAAUACCGCAUGUUGAGCGCGGAUCGCAUGAUCUGCGCUUGAAAGAUUUAUUGGUCUAAGAUAGGGUCGCGGCCUAUUAGCUUGUUGGUGGGGUAAUGGCCUACCAAGGCGACGAUGGGUAGCUGGUCUGAGAGGAUGAUCAGCCACACUGGGACUGAGAUACGGCCCAGACUCCUACGGGAGGCAGCAGUGAGGAAUAUUGCGCAAUGGACGAAAGUCUGACGCAGCAACGCCGCGUGAAGGAUGAAGGUGCUUUGCAUUGUAAACUUCUGUAGGGAGGGAAGAACAGCCUGUUAUUGACGGGUCUGACGGUACCUCCAAAGUAAGCACCGGCUAAUUCCGU